UCAUUUUCUUUCUUCAUCAAGGGAGAUCCAUCACGAAUUGCUACCUCACAAAUUGGGUGAACGACUGGGAUGCACCCAUGAACUUCCAGGUCCCGCCCGGCAGAGUGAUCAUUGGUGCCUACAGCGUCCAUAGCAACCGCAAGGAAGAUCGCCGAUGGAAGUUCCAUGUGUGUGACAUCCAGCAUUAAACAACUCCCCCUAUGACAUCUCGGCUGUUCCAUCAAUGAACAACUUCCCCCUAUGACAGCUCGGCUGUUCCAUCAAUAGACAACUCCCCCCAUGACAUCUCGGCUGUUCCAGCAAUAAACAACUUCCCCCAUGACAUCUCGGCUGUUCCAUCAAUAAACAACUUCCCCCAUGACAUCUCGGCUGUUCCAUUAAUGAACAAGUUCCCCCCCUUGACAUCUCGGCUGUUCCAUUAAUGAACAAGUUCCACCCUUGACAUCUCGGCUGUUCCAUUAAUGAACAAGUUCCUCCCUUGACAUCUCGGCUGUUCCAUCAAUAAACAACUUCCCCCAUGAUAUCUCGGCUGUUCCAGCAAUAAACAACUUCCCCCAUGACAUUUCGGCUGUUCCAUCAAUGAAUAACUCGCUACUGUAGAAUUACAAAUUUUUAACUGACAUAAACCUUUUUGGCCGCUUUGAGUUCCAAAUACCAUGAGGUCAGAAACCUUUCUAACUGCUCUAUAAAAAUCGUAAGAUUAUUCGGAGUCGUUAUCAAGAGAGUCAAAAAUUGCUUCCCCAAAAGGUUGACUUGAUGUGCAACUCAAAUUGUUUGACGUCAAAGUCUCAAAACUAGAUAGUGAGCUGAUAGAACAUGUAAUUCUAGGGAGGCAAACAUCCCGCCAUGACGUUUACGCUGUUCCAUCAAUGAACAAUCCUUGUCAUCAUCAUGGAACAAGACAGGACUGCUGAUUUAAUUAUAAUAAUAUUGUGCUUUCUUUUCUUAAGUUCGGGGAUCCCACUUCUUAAAAAAAAAAAAUAAUGGAAAAAGAAAAAGUUCACCGCACUAAAACCCAUUCCACAGCAAAAAGCCAUUAUUUACAUAUUUGGAAAGUUGAUAUUGUUUAAAGAAGAAGUCUGCAAAUUAUGAAUGUGGAAAUAGAUUAGUUUGGUUAUUCUACAUUAAUAAAUAAACACCCCCCCAAAAACACACACACAACAACAACGAGAAAACAAAACCCCCCCACAAAAACCCCCACAAAAAAACAACAACCAACAAACAAUCAAUGGGAAAAGUUUUUUUUUCUUCUCUCUGUUAAUCUGUAAAGAGGUAUGGUUGCAUUACUAUCGUGAAAUAAAUAAAUACACUAUCAUGAA
Long non-coding RNA from Aplysia californica (California sea hare), 1319 nucleotides. RefSeq lists it as uncharacterized. NCBI's taxonomy places the organism in Eukaryota, Metazoa, Mollusca, Gastropoda, Aplysiida, Aplysiidae. The record is from RefSeq and is a predicted model, not a curated record. The transcript has 2 exons.